Molecule: non-coding RNA, 95 nt
Filed under: Anaerosalibacter massiliensis
Lineage: Bacteria; Bacillati; Bacillota; Tissierellia; Tissierellales; Sporanaerobacteraceae
Description: THF riboswitch
Rfam family: THF (Tetrahydrofolate) riboswitch aptamer
About the family: THF riboswitch presents a pseudoknot that joins P1-P2 and the loop of P3 and two THF binding.
Source: RNAcentral
GCAGAGUAAGCGGUUUGCGUAAAGUGCUAAGGGAUGGGACGUUGCCCUUAGACGAAGAGCUUCAAGUAGUUUGCGAUAAACCGUUGCGUUCGCUG